GGCCUGUUGGUGAAACGGUUAACACACAUGCCUUUCACGCAUGCAUUUAUGGGUUCGAACCCCGUACAGGUCACCA
RNAcentral lists this transfer RNA (76 nucleotides) under Anaeroplasma bactoclasticum. RNAcentral describes it as "tRNA-Glu". It matches the Rfam family "tRNA". Rfam says of the family: Transfer RNA (tRNA) molecules are approximately 80 nucleotides in length. Their secondary structure includes four short double-helical elements and three loops (D, anti-codon, and T loops). RNAcentral also lists the same sequence under 6 other names. The record is from RNAcentral. Lineage: Bacteria; Bacillati; Mycoplasmatota; Mollicutes; Anaeroplasmatales; Anaeroplasmataceae.